AAAUGGAAAGUUGGUCAAGGUAAUUUGAUGCUGCAGGCUGCAGCUCUAUCUUGGCUUGAAAAAAAAUGUUUCCUUUUUGGAAAUCUAAGGCAAAUUUGUAGUCUAAGAGCAAGUGUCCUUGGUAGAAAAUAUAUGUAUGUAUUUUUUGGGAAAAUCAGUAGCAUAAAUCUAUAAUUCUGCUGAUUAUUUUCACUUAUUCUUUUCUUCUUUCUCUAUAGUUCUGCUGCAAUAGACCUAUAGUACACUGGGUACGAUCUGUAAGCCUUAAAUUUCUGCAAGCACUAUCUCUUUAUUUCUGAACUUAUUUCCUAUGUAUUUCAACUUUUCUCUUUCUCUUUUCUGCUGUGCCAGCUCUGUCCUUCAUAAUCACUUUGUUAGGGUCAUAAAACGUGAACAUUUUCUGACCACUUGAAGCUAAUUAAAAUUACAUCCACUGCCUCCAAAGUAACUAUUAAUUCCUUUUUUUUUUUCAAUGUCAUUUCUAGAAGUCUAGGGUGCAUGACAGUGAAAUUGAGGUGAAAAUGCUUGGCCAUUGUCGGUCACAGAUUUUCUGAAAGGUAUUAGCAGAAAAUAGUAAUGAAAAGUUGCGGAUAGAAAACUUUAAAAAUUUGGUUUAAAGAAUAGUGGUUAGCUACUGUGGACUCAGUAACACAUUCAUAAUGUGGAAAGGAUUUUCAAAGAGUGUUUUUGAGCCCAUGAAACUGGAAAAAUACUAUUAGAAAGAAUGUGUUAUAUGAUCAUAAGAUGAUCAUUUCAUCUUGUUGUUUUUGUGUGUUUGUUUUGACAAAUGAUAGGUAAAGCAUAAGUACAGGAUUG
RNAcentral lists this unclassified non-coding RNA (816 nucleotides) under Hevea brasiliensis (rubber tree). Lineage: Eukaryota; Viridiplantae; Streptophyta; Magnoliopsida; Malpighiales; Euphorbiaceae. The record is from RNAcentral.